GCGGAAGGAUCAUUAUUGAAAUAAACCUGAUGGGUUGUUGCUGGUUCUCCAGGGAGCAUGUGCACACCUUGUCAUCUUUAUAUCUCCACCUGUGCACUUUUUGUAGACCUGAAAAGGUCUAUGUUGCUUCAUUUUACCCCAAUGUAUGUUAAUAGAAUGUUGUACCUAUAUAAUAUAUACAACUUUCAGCAACGGAUCUCUUGGCUCUCGCAUCGAUGAAGAACGCAGCGAAAUGCGAUAAGUAAUGUGAAUUGCAGAAUUCAGUGAAUCAUCGAAUCUUUGAACGCACCUUGCGCUCCUUGGUAUUCCGAGGAGCAUGCCUGUUUGAGUGUCAUUAAUAUAUAUCAACCUUCUCUCUUGUAGUGAGUGGUUUGGAUGUGGGGGUUUGCUGGCCUCUUUUAAAAAGGGUUCAGCUCUCCUGAAAUGCAUUAGCAGAACAACCUGUUCAUUGGUGUGAUAACUAUCUGCGCCAUUGAAUGUGAGGGGCAGUUCAGCUUUCUAACAGU
Molecule: ribosomal RNA, 506 nt
Filed under: Cortinarius vernus
Lineage: Eukaryota; Fungi; Basidiomycota; Agaricomycetes; Agaricales; Cortinariaceae
Description: eukaryotic LSU rRNA
Rfam family: 5.8S ribosomal RNA (bases 181-334)
Source: RNAcentral